Trichomycterus rosablanca is the source of this 701-nucleotide long non-coding RNA. RefSeq lists it as uncharacterized. Lineage: Eukaryota; Metazoa; Chordata; Actinopteri; Siluriformes; Trichomycteridae. The transcript is spliced from 2 exons. The record is from RefSeq and is a predicted model, not a curated record.
UUUAACGCGAUUAAAAAAAAUAGUGCCAUUAACGCAAAAUCUAUUUGACCCUGCCAGUCAUCCGUAGUUCAUGUUGAGCAGACCUGGGGGCCACGUCCGGCCCGCGAGACAUCCCCAACCGGCCCGCAUGAGAUUCGUGGCAAUUAAAAAUUUGAUGUGAAUAAAUGUACAUCACACAUGCAUUAUAACAGGACUGUUUUGACGGGAGCGCUGUGUCUUUAAAUAUCCGCAAGUUUGGAUUGACGUGUGCGCGAGUGUAUCAGCUUCACUGUAAUGCGAACAGAACUGAGUGUGACUGACGGUCGAGUUUUUAACAAGACGUGAACUUCUGAAGUAUUUAUUUACUGAAGUCAGGUGUAACGCUGGUUAACGAUCACAAUUUAGGCUCUAAAUCGCUGUUACGGUACUAAACAGAGAAAUACAAGAACAUGAACGAUGCGGAGCGUCACACCUGAAGCUUCACUAACUAAACUGCAAAAGCAACACGGACUUUUUAUAAAGUUUAACACAUCCAGAACUGAAGCAGUCAGGACCAGCUCUGUGAUUUUAAUCCAACAGUAACAAAGGACUGAAAAACAAAUGAGAUGGUUCAGAAUUUGUCGACACAGUGCAAUAACCGUUCUCUCUUUGGGUUUCUCUGUUCAUGUGUUGUGACCAUCUGUUAUUAAAUCCAUUAAUUAAUAAACAAUAAAUGUAGUCAG